GAUCAGUACUGUAUUCAUAUUCUGAAUAAUAACGCAAAGAAAAUUACCUUCGUUGAUAUUCCAUUAUCCAAACGCUACAAUUUACCUAUUAACAGGUGUACUAGAACAAAACUUUAUCAAGGUAAUUUCCAAUUUCAAUUCUUUUCCAUAUCGUGCGUACAUAAAUUCAUUCGAUCAAGCCUAUUCAGAAGAUUCAUUAAUGCGAACGUAACCGAAUAAUAAAUGUUCGCCUUUGUAUAUCGCGGCUUCGUGAAACCAUCUCACAGUUAAAUAAUGCGCGAUUAACGCGCUUAACGUUAGUUACGUCCUAAGGAAACCGACGUGUACAAGUCAGCGAAUAUCGUCGAUAGCUAUGAUUUCUAUUAAACGACGAAGGCGCAGUUGGCAAAGGUAUUGCGGCGGAACUGUUUCGAACGCCGUAAACCGUACGUAUUUAAAUUCAUAGUCGUGACUAUAACCGUGACUCGUGGAAAAUUACGUUACUUUCUUUACGGUUGUUCCUGCCGCGUGACCGGCGGAAGAAAUGCGCAGCCACUUGAAAAUUCUUACAUCAAACGCGCGCACGCUCGUUCCUUCAUCUUCCCCUCUACGUUGCGAGACGUUUCUCACAAUCGUAUUCGUGAAAAAGGCAAGUUCGUUAUUUCUGGAAUGAAAUUACGUAUCUGUUUUAAUAAAAUGUGUAACAGGAAACGUUUAAUAAAAUGGUAGAGCUUGGUAAAGUGGAAUGCAAAGAGAUUAAGAUUUUUUCCGAGUAUACAUAAUUCAUUUGGAUGAAUAAUCUACGAAUUGUAAUUUAGAGGAAAAGUGGAAUAAAUUUUAUGCGCUUUAGCGCGUAUUUAAUACGAACGAAUUUAAAGUAGCACUUAUUUUGAAGCACUCUGUAUACGUAAAUCCACGAUGGAAUAAAUUUCUGUCAUUUCUUA
Molecule: long non-coding RNA, 923 nt
Organism: Bombus pyrosoma
Lineage: Eukaryota; Metazoa; Arthropoda; Insecta; Hymenoptera; Apidae
Exons: 2
Source: RefSeq, a predicted model, not a curated record